UAAUACAGAGGGUGCGAGCGUUGUUCGGAAUUACUGGGCGUAAAGCGCGCGCAGGCGGUUCUUUAAGUCUACCCGUGAAAUGCCGGAGCUCAACUCCGUGCACGCCGGGGGAUACUGGAGAACUGGAGACAGGUAGAGGCAGGCGGAAUUCCGGGUGUAGCGGUGGAAUGCGUAGAGAUCCGGAAGAACACCAGAGGCGAAGGCGGCCUGCUGGGCCUUGUCUGACGCUGAGGCGCGAAAGCGUGGGGAGCGAACAGGAUUAGAUACCCUGGUAGUCCACGCCGUAAACGAUGGGCACUGGGCGCGGGUGGGAUCGACCCCUUCCGUGCCGUAGCUAACGCGAUAAGUGCCCCGCCUGGGGAGUACGGCCGCAAGGCUG
RNAcentral lists this ribosomal RNA (379 nucleotides) under uncultured bacterium. RNAcentral describes it as "bacterial SSU rRNA". It matches the Rfam family "Bacterial small subunit ribosomal RNA", at positions 521 to 896 of the family's 1533-position model. The record is from RNAcentral.